AAUAAACCAACUUUUUACUUUUUACCUACAAUUUUUGACUCUUCGUCUUAUUCAAUUUUUUUUGCAAUUGGUAUUUUUGUUUUUAUUAGAUGAUAAAUCAUGAAUAGUACUUUACGUGUGACUAAUUUUUUUCUAAUUUCCUAAAAAAAUUUUAAAUAAGAUAGAUGAUCAAACAUUGGACACGGAAACUGGGG
RNAcentral lists this microRNA precursor (194 nucleotides) under Oryza brachyantha (malo sina). RNAcentral describes it as "MIR812 microRNA precursor family". It matches the Rfam family "MIR812 microRNA precursor family". The record is from Rfam by way of RNAcentral. Lineage: Eukaryota; Viridiplantae; Streptophyta; Magnoliopsida; Poales; Poaceae.